AUUAGCUAUGCAGCUGUAAUUACAUUUUUAAAAACACUGAAUUAUUAUUAUCAAAUUAUUAACAUCCCCUGUUUACCUGGCCUAUUUGAACUGGUCCUUGGUGCAUAAUCGAGGGGAACAACGUCACACUGCUACAUUAAUACAGUCAGUUUUCUAUUAUAAGUAAAGGACAUGCUAUGGGUUGCAUGCUUUGUCACAAUAUUGUUUUGAAUGUUCUCUUGAGGACUGAUGCCGAAUGAACGUUCUACUAGUUACUUAAUGGCAUUCUCUGAGCUGCCAUGUGCUGAUGAUGCAAAUCAUUAGUAGGACAACCUUUUGCCAUCACUGUGAUGUCGCAAGAUUGACUUUAGAUGAAAUAUAACUUUAGCUAGCUAGUUAAGAUUGAGGGACAGGACCGGAUUUUAGCUAGCUAACGUUAGCAUUGCUAGCUAGCAAUAUUUGACAAACUUUUCUAGCUAUGGCAAUUGCCAUUUCUCUCAAGUAAAUUUGACAAUAUUAUAAAUAAUGGCAAAGUUGUUUUCUACUAAUUACUUGCCUGCUUCAGCAAUGUCAUCGUAUUUCCAGUCCACUAUAGUGUCUCCUCAGAUAAUGUUAACUAGAUUGCUAGCUACCAGUCUGUGAGCUAAUUAAUGGUCGCUAGCCUGUUGACUGUUGUUCAAGCUGCAGUCAUUCACCCAAAACGGACCAAGGUAGCCUACUUAGGGUCCCCCCCACACCUGCUACUUGAUUUAUCUUGUCGUCUUUUUUAUGUUUGUGUUUUCUUUGAUGACUGUACAAAAUCAAUUGCUCAAAUUUACAAUUUGAAGUGUAUUUGUCAUUAGGUAUUAGUGCUGAAAUAAACUGGCUUGUGAUUGGAUUUGUAGCUACUAGCCUACCAGCCAGAAGAGAGAGGGUUGACAACUUGUAGCUAGCUACACAGUCCUUCCAUUCAUGAUCCCAUUAUGUGCUAAAGGAUGAGGAGGACCAUGAGGUCAUGGACUUCUUGGAGGAAGAUGCUUUUGAUGAGGAGAUACUUGGUGAAGAGUAUGAGACACACAGACAGAUGAACUGGUUUUCCCCCUAAACCUCCUAGGUUGAUGUUGGUGGUGGCUGCUUUACAUACCGAGCUGGUGGUGCAGGUCGUAGAAAUUCUAUAGCCUGGUCCUAGAUCUGUUUACAUGGUCUUGCUAACUCCUAAUGUAUGAUAGUUGUCAUGCCAUGUUACCAUAGUAGCAGUUGGCUUGGCUAUACAUAGGACUUGGCUGUAUACAGUGGUGUAAAGUACUUAAAUAAAAAUACUUUGAAGUACUACUUAAGUAGUUUUUGGGGGUAUCUGUACUUUACUAUUUAUAUUUUUGACAACUUUUACUUCACAACAUUCCUAAAGAAAAUAUUGUACUUUUUACUCCAUAAAUUUUCCCUGACAACCAAAAGUACUAAUUUCAUUUUGAAUGCUUAGCAGGACAGAAAAAUUGUCAAAUUCCCGCACUUAUCAAGAGAACAUGUGGUCAUCCCUAUUGCCUCUGGGCUGGCGGACUCACUAAACACAAAUUAAUCUUUUGUAAAUAAUGUGUGUUGGAGUAUGCCCCUGGCUAUCCGUACAUUUUAAAAACAAGAAAAUGGUGCUAUCUGCUUUGCUUAAUAUAAGGAUUUUUUUUAUGAAUAAUACUUUUACUUUUCAUACAUAAGUAUAUUUUAGCAAUUACAUUUACUUUUGAUACUUAAGUAUUUUUAAAACCAAAUACUUUAAAACUUUUACUCAAGUAGUAUUUUACUGGCUGACUUUCACUAUUACAUGAGUAACUUUCUAUUAAGGUAUAUACUUUUACUCAAGUAUGCAAAUUGGGUACUUUGUAUAGCACAAACGGAUCAAAGACCAAGAUAAGAUUUGGCUGAUUGUCAGAACAGAAUGAGUGAAGCCUCAAUGUACUUGAGAACUACUGUAGAAAUUCUUGGCUUUGUUACAGGAAAUAUAGAAAAGAGAAUAUGAUGUGGUUUGCUUGUUUGGCACCCAAAUGCAAGGGCAACAGGUUGUGUAUAAUGUUGUGGUUAUGACAGUGAUGUAACUUGCACUUUGUUUUCAGUUUCAAUGAGACAAUGUAUUCCCCUAACCUUAAUCUUUCAAUAAAAGUAUUGUUUUAAUAAUGUUA
Molecule: long non-coding RNA, 2129 nt
Filed under: Salmo salar (Atlantic salmon)
Lineage: Eukaryota; Metazoa; Chordata; Actinopteri; Salmoniformes; Salmonidae
Description: lncRNA (ENSSSAG00000099339.1)
Source: RNAcentral